GGAGUAUUGGCGUAAUGGUAUCGCAGCGGCUUGCUAAGCCGUCCAACAGCAAUGUUGUGGGAGUUCGAUUCUCUCAUACUCCGCUA
RNAcentral lists this transfer RNA (86 nucleotides) under Lachnospiraceae bacterium A2. Its description in RNAcentral is "tRNA-Ser". It matches the Rfam family "tRNA". Rfam says of the family: Transfer RNA (tRNA) molecules are approximately 80 nucleotides in length. Their secondary structure includes four short double-helical elements and three loops (D, anti-codon, and T loops). Further hydrogen bonds mediate the characteristic L-shaped molecular structure. tRNAs have two regions of fundamental functional importance: the anti-codon, which is responsible for specific mRNA codon recognition, and the 3' end, to which the tRNAs corresponding amino acid is attached (by aminoacyl-tRNA synthetases). tRNAs cope with the degeneracy of the genetic code in two manners: having more than one tRNA (with a specific anti-codon) for a particular amino acid; and 'wobble' base-pairing, i.e. permitting non-standard base-pairing at the 3rd anti-codon position. Lineage: Bacteria; Bacillati; Bacillota; Clostridia; Lachnospirales; Lachnospiraceae. The record is from RNAcentral.